AUCACUUGUCCUUUAAAUGAGGACCUGUAUGAAUGGCUAGACGAGGGCUUAGCUGUCUCCUCCCCCCAGUCAAUGAAAUUGAUCUCCCCGUGCAGAAGCGGGGAUACUACCAUAAGACGAGAAGACCCUAUGGAGCUUUAGACACUAGACAGCCUACGUUAAACUUCCACUCCGAAGUGGAAAAAACAUUGUAGCUCCUGUCUCUCCUGUCUUCGGUUGGGGCGACCGCGGAGGAUAAAAAAGCCUCCAUGUGGACCGAGGCUACUAGCCUCACAACUAAGAGCUGCAGCUCCAAGCAACAGAAAUUCUGACCAGUGUGAUCCGGCAUAAUGCCGAUUAACGGAACAAGUUACCCUAGGGAUAACAGCGCAAUC
This 374-nucleotide ribosomal RNA is filed under the name Hypomesus olidus. RNAcentral's name for it is "partial 16S ribosomal RNA". It matches the Rfam family "Bacterial large subunit ribosomal RNA", at positions 1964 to 2487 of the family's 2925-position model. The record is from RNAcentral. Lineage: Eukaryota; Metazoa; Chordata; Actinopteri; Osmeriformes; Osmeridae.